Molecule: ribosomal RNA, 497 nt
Filed under: uncultured bacterium
Lineage: Bacteria
Description: partial 16S ribosomal RNA
Rfam family: Bacterial small subunit ribosomal RNA
Source: RNAcentral
GAUGAACGCUGGCGGCGUGCCUAAUACAUGCAAGUCGAGCGAACGGACGAGAAGCUUGCUUCUCUGAUGUUAGCGGCGGACGGGUGAGUAACACGUGGAUAACCUACCUAUAAGACUGGGAUAACUUCGGGAAACCGGAGCUAAUACCGGAUAAUAUUUUGAACCGCAUGGUUCAAAAGUAAAAGACGGUCUUGCUGUCACUUAUAGAUGGAUCCGCGCUGCAUUAGCUAGUUGGUAAGGUAACGGCUUACCAAGGCAACGAUGCAUAGCCGACCUGAGAGGGUGAUCGGCAACACUGGAACUGAGACACGGUCCAGACUCCUACGGGAGGCAGCAGUAGGGAAUCUUCCGCAAAGGGCGAAAGCCUGACGGAGCAACGCCGCGUGAGUGAUGAAGGUCUUCGGAUCGUAAAACUCUGUUAUUAGGGAAGAACAUAUGUGUAAGUAACUGUGCACAUCUUGACGGUACCUAAUCAGAAAGCCACGGCUAACUACGUG